Oncorhynchus keta (chum salmon) is the source of this 1406-nucleotide long non-coding RNA. RefSeq lists it as uncharacterized. The record is from RefSeq and is a predicted model, not a curated record. NCBI's taxonomy places the organism in Eukaryota, Metazoa, Chordata, Actinopteri, Salmoniformes, Salmonidae. The transcript is spliced from 4 exons.
GUGGUCUAAGGCACUACAUCACAGUGCUCGCUGUGCCACUAGAGAUUCUGGGAUCGAGUCCAGACUCUGUCGCACCCGGCCGCGACCGGGAGACCCAUGGGGUGGCGCACAAUUAGCCCAGCGUCGUCCGGGUUAGGGGAGGGUUUGGCCGGCAGGGAUGUCCUUGUCCCAUCGCGCUCUAGCGUCUCCUAUGGCGGGCCGGGCGCAGGGCACGCUGACACGGUCACCAGUGUCUCCUAUGGCGGGCCGGGCGCAGGGCACGCUGACACGGUCACCAGGUGUCUCCUAUGGCGGGCUGGGCGCAGGGCACGCUGACACGGUCACCAGGUGUCUCCUAUGGCGGGCUGGGCGCAGGGCACGCUGACACGGUCACCAGGUGUCUCCUAUGGCGGGCUGGGCGCAGGGCACGCUGACACGGUCACCAGGUGUCUCCUAUGGCGGGCUGGGCGCAGGGCACGCUGACACGGUCACCAGGUGUCUCCUAUGGUGGGCUGGGCGCAGGGCACGCUGACACGGUCACCAGGUGUCUCCUAUGGCGGGCUGGGCGCAGGGCACGCUGACACGGUCACCAGGUGUCUCCUAUGGUGGGCUGGGCGCAGGGCACGCUGACACGGUCACCAGGUGUCUCCUAUGGUGGGCCGGGCGCAGGGCACGCUGACACGGUCACCAGGUGUCUCCUAUGGCGGGCCGGGCGCAGGGCACGCUGACACGGUCACCAGGUGUCUCCUAUGGUGGGCUGGGUGCAGGGCACGCUGACACGGUCACCAGGUGUCUCCUAUGGUGGGCCGGGCGCAGGGCACGCUGACACGGUCACCAGGUGUCUCCUAUGGUGGGCUGGGCGCAGGGCACGCUGACACGGUCACCAGGUGUCUCCUAUGGUGGGCUGGGUGCAGGGCACGCUGACACGGUCACCAGGUGUCUCCUCCAACACAUUGGUGCGGCUGGCUUCCAGGUUAAAUGGGGUAAAAAGGGGUAAAAAAAACAAAAACAUAAUCAUUUGUUUUUUUUUGACAAUUAAAUUUUAAAAAAUGGUUUAGUCAGUGAUGCAAGUAAACAGAAAUAUCGGGGCAAUUUCCGCAACAACUAAGAGCAUUGAAGCACGAGGCGAAAGUUCUCCGCUGUUUUGUUCCCGCAGCUAUCACACUGUAGCAGAUUGAACUGUGGACAUGCGCAGAUACUCUGAGGUACUCUGAUAUUCUGUGAGUGCAUCGUUUUGCAUUGCACUACUAUGCAACAUCUGCGUUGCUGCUCGUCUCCAUUUAAAACAUAUUAACCGCCUGUCAGCAAUGCUUCCAUCUGUCCUUUAGAGAAAAAAGGAAAUAGGCUAGUAACUAGAAUACACAGGAGAGUCAGAGACAAUAGAAAGCAUUCAUGUCAACAUAAACUCUCCUUGGCUCUUUUCUCAC